RNAcentral lists this ribosomal RNA (446 nucleotides) under uncultured bacterium. RNAcentral's name for it is "partial 16S ribosomal RNA". It matches the Rfam family "Bacterial small subunit ribosomal RNA", at positions 338 to 795 of the family's 1533-position model. The record is from RNAcentral.
CCUACGGGUGGCAGCAGUCGAGAAUCAUUCACAAUGGGGGAAACCCUGAUGGUGCGACGCCGCGUGGGGGAAUGAAGGUCUUCGGAUUGUAAACCCCUGUCAUGUGGGAGCAAAUUAAAAAGAUAGUACCACAAGAGGAAGAGACGGCUAACUCUGUGCCAGCAGCCGCGGUAAUACAGAGGUCUCAAGCGUUGUUCGGCAUCACUGGGCGUAAGGCGUGCGUAGGCUGUUUCGUAAGUCGGGUGUGAAAGGCGCGGGCUCAACCCGCGGACGGCACAUGAUACUGCGAGACUAGAGUAAUGGAGGGGGAAGCGGAAUUCUCGGUGUAGCAGUGAAAUGCGUAGAUAUCGAGAGGAACACUCGUGGCGAAGGCGGGUUCCUGGACAUUAACUGACGCUGAGGCACGAAGGCCAGGGGAGCGAAAGGGAUUAGAUACCCGUGUAGUC